This is a long non-coding RNA of Gadus morhua (Atlantic cod), 2151 nucleotides long. The record is from Ensembl. Lineage: Eukaryota; Metazoa; Chordata; Actinopteri; Gadiformes; Gadidae.
UUUGUCGUUAUGAGUGGCUCCCAGCAGUCCAGAGGGAGGCCCUGGAGCUCAAAAAUAACACCAGUGGACCAGGCACCCCCCCCACACACACAAACCGUGUGCUUCGCAACAAGCCGGACAGACAAGCCUGACAGACAGAGAGGCUAUGGGAGGGGUUGAAGAUGGACCUGGAAUGGAUGGACCUAGUGACACUGGCGAGGCCGAGUGCAGAAGCGACAUUCAAUCAUUUUGAGAUGGACCUGAGCAUUUUGGUCUGCAUGGAGAAUUCAACUGAAGCGAAUCGGGAGCAGCUCUACUCUGCGACUCAUAUCUCAGUCUACUUUGAAAGAGUCUACUUCUUCUGCAAAUGGAGAGUUCAACACAACAAAGACACGACUGUUGCUGUCAGUCAUCCAGCUGGAGACAGGACUCACUUCCAAAGCAAAGAAAGGAUUUUCUGCAGAACUCCCGAUGCAAACCCCAAAGACAGCUAACCCCUUCUUCAGGACCAAGAACAGGUUAACUCCAGGCAGUCACUGCCCUUUGUCACCUGGCUACUCACUGGCGAGUCACUCAUGAACCAGAGACUCCCAAAACCCUCCCACUAACCAAAUACACACACACACACGUGUCGCAUGCUCAGCCGUCCUGGUAGGGGAUCUCUCUUUGACUUGGCCUACCUAAAGGUUUCUCCUUUUUCCCCUAAUAAGGGUUUUAAAGAGUUUUUCCUUUAAUGCUUGGAGAGUCUAAGGCUGAUGAUGCAAGACACACAAAUGUGUGAUAGUCUGAUGGGACCCAAAGUUGAGCUUUGUUUUCAUGUUAGUUUUAUGCUUUGAUAUUUUCAUGUAAUAAAAUGUAAAUGAAGUGACUAAAAAAAUGUAUCAUGUCUGAUUAACCAAGAGGUACGUGGGCAUUACAAAUGGUUUGACUCAAAGGUUUACAUGGUGGAGCAUGUCGUAGCAACUCAAGUAAUCAACUGAGUGUGAGGGAGCUAUUUCUGUAGGUACAAGCUUAUUGCAACCUCACAUCUUGUGCGCAUUAUUCAACAUUUCCAAACUUUUCAGUCUUAAUAUUCAUUUGUUAAUUCAAUUUAGCUUCAGUUCUUCUAAAUUCAGAAUCAUUCAAUUGUUCAGUCCCAUUCAAUCGUAAUUAUUAUAAUUCCUAGAUUCAGUGUCUUCAUUCUACAGACUUCAUUCUACCUUCAAAAUGUUCAACAGAUUUCCUAGAUUCAGGGUAUUGAUUCAACAUUCAGCUUCAGCAGCAGAGUGGAGCAUUUUAGCGUCAGCAGACUUUAGCAGUAUUACUUCAGAACCCUUCAACUCAUUCAUAAUUCAUUCUACAGACUUCAAUCUACAUUCAAAAGGUUCAGCAGAUUUCCUGGAUUCAGUGUAUUGAUUCAACAUUCAGCUUCAGAUUUGUUAAUUCAAUUUAGCUUCAGUUCUUCUAAAUUCAGAAUCAUUCAAUUGUUCAGUCCCAUUCAUUCGUAAUUAUUAUAUUUCCUAGAUUCAGUGUCUUCAUUCUACAGACUCCAUUUUACCUUCAAAAUGUUCAUCAGAUUUCUUAGAUUCAGUGUCUUCAUUCUACAGACUUCAUUCUACCUUCAAAAUGUUCAUCAGAUUUCCUAGAUUCAGCGUCUUCAUUCUAAUGGCUUCAUUCUACCUUCAAAAUGUUCAGCAGAUUUCCUAGAUUCAGGGUAUUGAUUCUACAGGCUUCAUUCUACCUUCAAAAUGUUCAUCAGAUUUCCUAGAUUCAGCGUCUUCAUUCUACAGGCUUCAUUCUACCUUCAAAAUGUUCAGCAGAUUUCCUAGAUUCAGGGUAUUGAUUCAACAUGCAGCUUCAGCAGUAGAGCGGAGCAUUUCAGCGUCAGCAGACUUUAGCAGUAUGACUUCAAAACCAUUCAACUCAUUCAUAGUUCAUUCUACAGACUUCAUUCUACAUUCAAAAUGUUCAGCAAAUGUCCUAGAUUCAUUGUAACGAUUCUUCAACGUGCAGCUUCAGCAGUAGAGCGGAGCAUUUCAGCGUUAGCAUUCACACCGCAAUACCUUCAGGGAUUGCAAUUCUAGUUAUAUUUAUUACAUAAUUUUAACACAAAUUUAUCAGAAACAGUCAUUAUUAAUCAUAAAAAAACACAUUGAAGAGGCAUAAAUGGUAUUGUGUAAUUAUUGUCCCAAG